RNAcentral lists this ribosomal RNA (862 nucleotides) under Pseudocercospora macadamiae. RNAcentral describes it as "eukaryotic LSU rRNA". It matches the Rfam family "Eukaryotic large subunit ribosomal RNA", at positions 113 to 1008 of the family's 3401-position model. Lineage: Eukaryota; Fungi; Ascomycota; Dothideomycetes; Mycosphaerellales; Mycosphaerellaceae. The record is from RNAcentral.
AUUUGAAAUCUGGCGCAAGCCCGAGUUGUAAUUUGUAGAGGAUGCUUCUGGGUAGCGGCCGGUCUAAGUUCCUUGGAACAGGACGUCAUAGAGGGUGAGAAUCCCGUAUGUGACUGGCUUGCACCCUCCACGUAGCUCCUUCGACGAGUCGAGUUGUUUGGGAAUGCAGCUCUAAAUGGGAGGUAAAUUUCUUCUAAAGCUAAAUACCGGCCAGAGACCGAUAGCGCACAAGUAGAGUGAUCGAAAGAUGAAAAGCACUUUGGAAAGAGAGUUAAAAAGCACGUGAAAUUGUUGAAAGGGAAGCGCCCGCAACCAGACUUUGCGGCAGUGUUCGGCCGGUCUUCUGACCGGUUUACUCGCUGUCGUGAGGCCAUCAUCGUCUGGGACCGCUGGAUAAGACCUUAGGAAUGUGGCUCCCCUCGGGGAGUGUUAUAGCCUCUGGUGAUGCAGCGCGUCUCGGGCGAGGUCCGCGCUUCGGCAAGGAUGAUGGCGUAAUGGUUGUCGGCGGCCCGUCUUGAAACACGGACCAAGGAGUCUAACAUCUAUGCGAGUGUUCGGGUGUCAAACCCCUACGCGUAAUGAAAGUGAACGGAGGUGGGAACUUUUUGUGCACCAUCGACCGAUCCUGAUGUCCUCGGAUGGAUUUGAGUAAGAGCAUAGCUGUUGGGACCCGAAAGAUGGUGAACUAUGCCUGAAUAGGGUGAAGCCAGAGGAAACUCUGGUGGAGGCUCGCAGCGGUUCUGACGUGCAAAUCGAUCGUCAAAUUUGGGUAUAGGGGGCGAAAGACUAAUCGAACCAUCUAGUAGCUGGUUCCUGCCGAAGUUUCCCUCAGGAUAGCAGUAACGUUUUCAGUUUUAUGAGG